RNAcentral lists this ribosomal RNA (209 nucleotides) under uncultured Anaerolineaceae bacterium. RNAcentral describes it as "partial 16S ribosomal RNA". It matches the Rfam family "Bacterial small subunit ribosomal RNA", at positions 1176 to 1382 of the family's 1533-position model. The record is from RNAcentral. Lineage: Bacteria; Bacillati; Chloroflexota; Anaerolineae; Anaerolineales; Anaerolineaceae.
GGGAUGAUGUCAAGUCAGCAUGGCCUUUAUAUCCUGGGCUACACACACGCUACAAUGGGAAGGGACAAUAGGUUGCGAAGCCGCGAGGCGGAGCCAAUCCAGCAAAACUUCCCUCAGUUCAGAUUGCAGGCUGCAACUCGCCUGCAUGAAGUUGGAGUUGCUAGUAAACGCAGGUCAGCCAUACUGCGUUGAAUACGUUCCCGGGGCUU